This 979-nucleotide ribosomal RNA is filed under the name Chlorogloeopsis sp. RU41_Rupite. RNAcentral describes it as "bacterial SSU rRNA". It matches the Rfam family "Bacterial small subunit ribosomal RNA", at positions 486 to 1465 of the family's 1533-position model. Lineage: Bacteria; Bacillati; Cyanobacteriota; Cyanophyceae; Nostocales; Chlorogloeopsidaceae. The record is from RNAcentral.
AAAAGCAUCGGCUACUCCGUGCCAGCAGCGCGGUAAUACGGAGGAUGCAAGCGUUAUCCGGAAUGAUUGGGCGUAAAGCGUCCGUAGGUGGUGAUGUGUGUCUAUUGUCAAAGGCUCUGGCUUAACCAGAGACAGGCAGUAGAAACUGCAGAACUAGAGUGCAUUCGGGGCAGGGGGAAUUCCUGGUGUAGCGGUGAAAUGCGUAGAGUUCAGGAAGAACACCGGUGGCGAAAGCGCCCUGCUAGGCUGUCACUGACACUGAGGGACGAAAGCUAGGGGAGCGAAUGGGAUUAGAUACCCCAGUAGUCCUAGCCGUAAACGAUGGAUACUAGGCGUUGCGUGUAUCGACCCAUGCAGUGCCGUAGCUAACGCGUUAAGUAUCCCGCCUGGGGAGUACGCACGCAAGUGUGAAACUCAAAGGAAUUGACGGGGGCCCGCACAAGCGGUGGAGUAUGUGGUUUAAUUCGAUGCAACGCGAAGAACCUUACCAGGGCUUGACAUGUCCGGAAUCUUCUGGAAACAGAAGAGUGCCUGCGGGAACCGGAACACAGGUGGUGCAUGGCUGUCGUCAGCUCGUGUCGUGAGAUGUUGGGUUAAGUCCCGCAACGAGCGCAACCCUCGUUCUGAGUUGCCAGCAACAAAGUUGGGCACUCUCAGAAGACUGCCGGUGACAAACCGGAGGAAGGUGGGGAUGACGUCAAGUCAGCAUGCCCCUGACGUCCUGGGCUACACACGUACUACAAUGCUUUCGACAAAGGGCAGCGAGACUGCGAAGUUAAGCAAAUCCCAGAAACGAAGGCUCAGUUCAGAUCGCAGGCUGCAACUCGCCUGCGUGAAGGAGGAAUCGCUAGUAAUUGCAGGUCAGCAUACUGCAGUGAAUCCGUUCCCGGGCCUUGUACACACCGCCCGUCACACCAUGGAAGCUGGUCAUGCCCGAAGUCGUUACCCAAACUGGGAACAGAAGGGACGCCGAAGGCAG